CUUGUUGGCCAUACCACUCUGAGCGUGCCCAAUCUUGUCUGAUCUCUGAAGCUAAGCAGCGUUGGGCCUAGUUAAUACUUGGAUGGGAGAAACA
Molecule: ribosomal RNA, 94 nt
Filed under: Ovis aries (sheep)
Lineage: Eukaryota; Metazoa; Chordata; Mammalia; Artiodactyla; Bovidae
Source: RNAcentral